RNAcentral lists this ribosomal RNA (301 nucleotides) under uncultured bacterium. RNAcentral describes it as "partial 16S ribosomal RNA". It matches the Rfam family "Bacterial small subunit ribosomal RNA", at positions 509 to 807 of the family's 1533-position model. The record is from RNAcentral.
CAGCCGCCGCGGGAAUACGGAGGGGGCUAGCGUUGUUCGGAAUUACUGGGCGUAAAGCGCACGUAGGCUGCUUUGUAAGUUAGAGGUGAAAGCCUGGUGCUCAACACCAGAACUGCCUUUAAGACUGCAGAGCUAGAACGUCGGAGAGGUGAGUGGAAUUCCGAGUGUAGAGGUGGAAUUCGUAGAUAUUCGGAAGAACACCAGUGGCGAAGGCGGCUCACUGGACGACUGUUGACGCUGAGGUGCGAAAGCGUGGGGAGCAAACAGGAUUAGAUACCCGCGUAGUCCCUGUCUCUUAUAC